AACAAAUUUUUCUCGUAAGAAAUAAAGGGAAAAUGAUUAAACCGUUCCACGUCCUUCACAAUGCUAGUCAAUUUAAUAAUGUUUUUUGUUUUCACAAUCAUAGAUACAGUCAUUCUUUGUGUACAGUAUACAACAGCCAAGUCCUGAAUAUGUAUGCCACCUUCAUAUUUUCAACAAUCUCUUUUUUCACUCUAACCAUUGAUCUUAACCAUUUUCUGCAUUUCUUGGCUCUUCUCAUUAACUUUCUUAGAAUGCAUGGUUAAUGAAUUUAUUGAAAAUUUAUGUGAAAAAACACAAAAUCAUGUGAAA
RNAcentral lists this long non-coding RNA (309 nucleotides) under Androctonus crassicauda. The record is from RNAcentral. Lineage: Eukaryota; Metazoa; Arthropoda; Arachnida; Scorpiones; Buthidae.